UGGCGGCAGGCUUAACACAUGCAAGUCGAGCGGUAGCAGAUCUAGCUUGCUAGAUGCUGACGAGCGGUGGACGGGUGAGUAACGCGUAGGAACCUGCCCAGUAGUGGGGGAUAGCCCGGGGAAACUCGGAUUAAUACCGCAUACGCUCUACGGAGGAAAGAGGGGGCUUCGGCUCUCGCUAUUGGAUGGGCCUGCGUGAGAUUAGCUAGUUGGUGAGGUAAUGGCUCACCAAGGCGACGAUCUCUAGCUGGUCUGAGAGGAUGAUCAGCCACACUGGGACUGAGACACGGCCCAGACUCCUACGGGAGGCAGCAGUGGGGAAUAUUGCACAAUGGGCGCAAGCCUGAUGCAGCCAUGCCGCGUGUGUGAAGAAGGCUUUCGGGUUGUAAAGCACUUUCAGUGGGGAGGAAGGCCUCGUAGUUAAUAGCUGCGAGGAUUGACGUUACCCACAGAAGAAGCACCGGCUAACUCCGUG
RNAcentral lists this ribosomal RNA (475 nucleotides) under uncultured bacterium. Its description in RNAcentral is "bacterial SSU rRNA". It matches the Rfam family "Bacterial small subunit ribosomal RNA", at positions 37 to 507 of the family's 1533-position model. The record is from RNAcentral.